GCAAGGAACAAAGGCUAAGUUCGCCACAUCCUGUGGUAACGCCUUUGCUAGUACAUCCUGUA
This 62-nucleotide small RNA is filed under the name uncultured Siminovitchia sp. RNAcentral's name for it is "Bacillaceae-1 RNA". It matches the Rfam family "Bacillaceae-1 RNA". The record is from RNAcentral. Lineage: Bacteria; Bacillati; Bacillota; Bacilli; Caryophanales; Bacillaceae.